UUCCCGGAGAAUCAAAUAGGAGUAGGAGGAAACUCUGAAAAUGAAAUCUCAUGGCGGCUUCCCCACCUUUUAGAGACGUAUGCCCACUAAAGGACAACACACCAAAAUCUUUCUUUCGAACUAUCCUUUAACACAGCCGUCUGAAGGGCUCCUUUAGAUGGGAGAUCCAACAGCCCCAAACAUUCAUGAAGUUAGUUUGAAGGCAGUAAGUCAGGUAAAUGCUAAGGAAUGCGGAAGUCUGGGUGUACGUCAGUUUGAGCUAAUUGACUAGUUGCUGAAAGGCAUCUGGCUGGAGAGAAUUUAAAAGUAACUUCCAUCUCAUCAUGGGGAAGUGAAUCGGGCAAGGGGAAGUGUU
RNAcentral lists this ribosomal RNA (355 nucleotides) under Damalinia meyeri sika. Its description in RNAcentral is "partial 12S ribosomal RNA". The record is from RNAcentral. Lineage: Eukaryota; Metazoa; Arthropoda; Insecta; Psocodea; Bovicoliidae.